RNAcentral lists this RNase P RNA (446 nucleotides) under Candidatus Peregrinibacteria bacterium. RNAcentral's name for it is "RNase P RNA component class A". It matches the Rfam family "Bacterial RNase P class A". Rfam says of the family: Ribonuclease P (RNase P) is a ubiquitous endoribonuclease, found in archaea, bacteria and eukarya as well as chloroplasts and mitochondria. Its best characterised activity is the generation of mature 5'-ends of tRNAs by cleaving the 5'-leader elements of precursor-tRNAs. Cellular RNase Ps are ribonucleoproteins. The record is from RNAcentral. Lineage: Bacteria; Candidatus Peregrinibacteriota.
CCUGCUCCUUCGAUGAUCGCUACGUACGCACGUACGUAGAGGAACGUCCGGGCACCAGCCUUCGCGCAAGCGAAGUGGGUGUCAGCCGACCUGGCGCUUGCGCUACGGCCGGCAAGCCACCGGAACGCCAUGCGGGUAACGCCCGCCCACGCACAGAUAUCCGGCAAGGGUGCGUGAGGACUAGUGCCACAGAGACGAGCCCCCGCAAGGGGGAGUGAAACGCCUCGGAGUACCGAGGACUGCGGCUCCAAAGUUUGCAGUCGGUAAACUCAUGGUGGUGCAAGGAGGAUUUGGGUACGCGGGGUUCGCGAUGGUUCCGUCGCGCCGCAUACCCCUCCGCUCGAGACGCCGGGCAACCGGCGCCCUAGAGAGAUGAUCAUCACCCUGUAGUGACACGCAGUGUCUACUACGGGGUACAGAACCCGGCGUAUGAGGGGGCAGGAUAC